This 131-nucleotide small nuclear RNA is filed under the name Saitoella complicata NRRL Y-17804. RNAcentral describes it as "U4 spliceosomal RNA". It matches the Rfam family "U4 spliceosomal RNA". From Rfam's summary of the family: U4 small nuclear RNA (U4 snRNA) is a component of the major U2-dependent spliceosome. The structure of U4 snRNA from yeast and human has been reported. U4 snRNA presents a k-turn RNA motif in the 5p-SL related to recognition of Snu13 protein. The record is from Rfam by way of RNAcentral. Lineage: Eukaryota; Fungi; Ascomycota; Saitoellomycetes; Saitoellales; Saitoellaceae.
UCUCUUAUGCACGGGCAUUACGAGCAGCAGUGAAGACUUUGUCUGAGCUCUUGUUUUUGCUAGUUGAAAACUAAUUUAAGACCGCUCCUACCUGGGUUCGCUCGGGUAGGGAAUCUUUGGAAACAUACUUU